Molecule: ribosomal RNA, 497 nt
Filed under: uncultured bacterium
Lineage: Bacteria
Description: partial 16S ribosomal RNA
Rfam family: Bacterial small subunit ribosomal RNA
Source: RNAcentral
GAUGAACGCUGGCGGCGUGCCUAAUACAUGCGAGUCGAGCGAACGGACGAGAAGCUUGCUUCUCUGAUGUUAGCGGCGGACGGGUGAGUAACACGUGGAUAACCUACCUAUAAGACUGGGAUAACUUCGGGAAACCGGAGCUAAUACCGGAUAAUAUUUUGAACCGCAUGGUUCAAAAGUGAAAGACGGUCUUGCUGUCACUUAUAGAUGGAUCCGCGCUGCAUUAGCUAGUUGGUAAGGUAACGGCUUACCAAGGCAACGAUGCAUAGCCGACCUGAGAGGGUGAUUGGGCACAAUGGAACUGGGACACGGUCCCGAAUCCUACGGGAGGCAACAGUAGGGGAACCUCCGGAAUGGGCGAAAGCCUGACGGAGCAACGCCGCGUGAGUGAUGAAGGUCUUCGGAUCGUAAAACUCUGUUAUUAGGGAAGAACAUAUGUGUAAGUAACUGUGCACAUCUUGACGGUACCUAAUCAGAAAGCCACGGCUAACUACGUG